CAAAUAAUAAAUAAAAAUAAUAAUACUAAUGUAAAAAUAUAAUUGUAUUUUAAAUGAUGAAUCGCAAGAUUCUGCCCAUAUGCGUAUAUUAUGGAACUCCCUUAAUCCACUACGACCGCGAGAAAAUAAAGAAGAGCAGGAGGAAGAGAAAGAAGAAGUUAUAGAGGAGAAAAAAGAGGAAGAAAAGGAGGGGGAAAUGGAUAACGGCAGCGAUAUUUCAGUGAAAUCCGGCAACAUCUCGGAGAUAGAAGAGAUACAAGAAGCUUUGGAGGGGAAAGAAGAAAACAUGAAUGAAAGAAAGGAAGAGCGGGAGGAGGAGAAGGAAGAGGAAACUAAGAAGAUACUAUGCUUAUAAUGUUGAAGAUAUUUCAUAUACGCCGUUGAAUGAUACAAAUCAAUGGAGACAAUAUUCUGGAGAUUUUUACGAACAAAGCAACUAAAGAUGAUACAAACCAGCGGUGGCACCGGCGGACAUGACGUCCGCCUAAUAUAAUAUCUAAUAAACGAAAGAGAGGAGAAUUUUGCUGACAUCGAGGAACAUCAUCAUCAUCAUCAUCCUCAAUAUCAGCAGCAACAGCGUUAUCAUCAGCAGCAACAGCAUCGA
This is an RNA transcript of Acromyrmex echinatior (Panamanian leafcutter ant), 604 nucleotides long. RefSeq lists it as uncharacterized. Lineage: Eukaryota; Metazoa; Arthropoda; Insecta; Hymenoptera; Formicidae. The record is from RefSeq and is a predicted model, not a curated record.